Ictalurus punctatus (channel catfish) is the source of this 532-nucleotide long non-coding RNA. The record is from Ensembl. NCBI's taxonomy places the organism in Eukaryota, Metazoa, Chordata, Actinopteri, Siluriformes, Ictaluridae.
AUGCGUUCUUUUUGAGAGAGGGUCGAACCGAAAGUGCACUCUUUAGUCAACAGAGUGAAAGUCCCGAGGUUGCAGCAGUCUGAGAUAAAUACGUCAGUUCACAGAUAAAGAAGAUAGGAACUGAAUGAAGUCGUUCGUACGAUUAGUUAGCACAAACAGCUGUAGCUCUUCUGAGCUACACCCUGCUUUUUCAAUCACACCACCGAAUCAUUUCCCAUUUUUUUUGUUGCAUCAAUGAAACGCUCUUCCGUGUUCUUUUACCUCCAACAGAACUCAAAAGUGAAUGUAGGUGAAUCUCCUUUUGUAACAUCCUCCAAAGAAUGUAAUGAAAUGUGUGAAUUUAUUUAGGACUGGUUUGUCAUAGAGGUUUUUCAUGUUUCUUACAGUCAGACGAAAUGGCUAGCUCGUUACAGAGCAUAUGAAGUUCACUGAUAAUCCAAUUGUUUUCUUUCCCACACCUACAUAAUUCUUAAUCCUGUGUCAAUAAUUAACCACAAUGGGUACAUUGUUAUCAGGUCUGAACUCCUCCUCA